UACGUAGGGUGCGAGCGUUGUCCGGAAUUAUUGGGCGUAAAGGGCUCGUAGGCGGUUUGUCGCGUCGGGAGUGAAAUCCACUGGCUUAACUGGUGGCUUGCUUUCGAUACGGGCAGACUGGAGGUAUGCAGGGGAGAACGGAAUUCCUGGUGUAGCGGUGAAAUGCGCAGAUAUCAGGAGGAACACCGGUGGCGAAGACGGUUCUCUGGGCAUGUCCUGACGCUGAGGAGCGAAAGUGUGGGGAGCGAACAGG
This 253-nucleotide ribosomal RNA is filed under the name uncultured bacterium. RNAcentral describes it as "partial 16S ribosomal RNA". It matches the Rfam family "Bacterial small subunit ribosomal RNA", at positions 524 to 776 of the family's 1533-position model. The record is from RNAcentral.